GGGGUUGUCUCGAUUCGACAGGAUGUACGUUGAAAAUACGCAAGCCGAUUAUGAGGGUGAUAUCGAAAAUCUCUCCCUCACGAUGAUACCUGCAAACUUCAUCACCAAGGCAAAAGCAGCCUUCGCGCAAGCGUUUCGGCCAGCAUUUGCUUCUGCUCUCGCGUAAUUUCGUAGGAGCCAUCGGACUCCCGAUUCCCGGUACGGAAUCUCCGGUGUCAUAUUUCCGGGAAGGCCCGACUCCCUCGCCUCGUGAGGAUUCGGUUGCCAUUUGCUCACGGGGCAAGUCGAUCCGAUUUAGUGCGCUUUGACGGCUCGACAAAAAGAAGCACACUACGCUUGUAGACUAUUUUUGAUCCUCAUCACUGGACAUGGGUGCAAUUCCCAUCAACUCCACUU
This 396-nucleotide transfer-messenger RNA is filed under the name Candidatus Moraniibacteriota bacterium. Its description in RNAcentral is "Candidatus Moranbacteria bacterium transfer-messenger RNA". It matches the Rfam family "transfer-messenger RNA". Rfam says of the family: Bacterial tmRNA, also known as 10Sa RNA or SsrA, is named for its dual tRNA and mRNA-like properties. Lineage: Bacteria; Candidatus Moraniibacteriota. The record is from RNAcentral. RNAcentral also lists the same sequence under 1 other name.